GUGAGGAAUUUUCCGCAAUGGGCGAAAGCCUGACGGAGCAAUGCCGCGUGAAGGAUGAAGGCCUAUGGGUUGUAAACUUCUUUUCUCAGAAAAGAAUUAUGACGGUAUCUGAGGAAUAAGCAUCGGCUAACUCUGUGCCAGCAGCCGCGGUAAGACAGAGGAUGCAAGCGUUAUCCGGAAUGAUUGGGCGUAAAGCGUCUGUAGGUUGUUUAAAAAGUAUUCUGUCAAAGAUUAGGGCUUAACCCUAGAUAGGCAGAAUAAACUUUUAAGCUAGAGUUUGGUAGAGGCAGAGGGAAUUCCCGGUGGAGCGGUGAAAUGCGUAGAUAUCGGGAGGAACACCAAAUGCGAAGGCACUCUGCUGGGCCAAUACUAACACUGAGAGACGAAAGCGAGGGGAGCAAAUGGGAUUAGAUACCCCUGUAGUCC
This 426-nucleotide ribosomal RNA is filed under the name uncultured bacterium. RNAcentral's name for it is "bacterial SSU rRNA". It matches the Rfam family "Bacterial small subunit ribosomal RNA", at positions 354 to 796 of the family's 1533-position model. The record is from RNAcentral.